Hippoglossus stenolepis (Pacific halibut) is the source of this 549-nucleotide long non-coding RNA. RefSeq lists it as uncharacterized. The transcript has 3 exons. The record is from RefSeq and is a predicted model, not a curated record. NCBI's taxonomy places the organism in Eukaryota, Metazoa, Chordata, Actinopteri, Pleuronectiformes, Pleuronectidae.
GAACGAACAAGGCCUCAAAUCAAUCAGUUCCAAAAAGGUUUAAAAGAGACCGGACUGUGGCUGCUGCUCAUUCACAGAAGAGACACAAUCCCAUUCCUGUUUCCCAGAGAAUCAGAGGCAGAACUCACUCCUCAGAUGAUCUUGGAUUGCAUCAUAUGGCCUUCGUCUGUUACGAUCUUCUUUGAGAGCUUCAGAGAAGAUGAUGUUGACGAGUCCGACAUCAUGGAUGUACAUCGAGUGACUCUCUACUUGAAAACAUUUAUCGAAAAUGUGUCUCCAGUUGAGUUAAAGAGCCUCAUAAAGUUCUGGAUAGGGUGGGAGGUACCCACCGCAGAGAUGAAGGUGGAAGUGGUAGAGGCCACACUUCCCACCGCCUCCACGUGUUUUGAGAAGCUGAGGCUGCCGAGGCAUUACACAACAUAUCAAACCUUUCAUCAAGAUUUGUGCGCGUGCAUAUCCACCAGUUACAGUGGUUUUGGCUGUCCCUGAUUGUAAAUAAUGAUCUUAUGAGUGUGUGUGUGGACUGAAUGUGUGGAAACUGUGGGUGAG